RNAcentral lists this ribosomal RNA (794 nucleotides) under uncultured archaeon. RNAcentral describes it as "bacterial SSU rRNA". It matches the Rfam family "Archaeal small subunit ribosomal RNA", at positions 85 to 880 of the family's 1478-position model. The record is from RNAcentral.
ACUGCUCAGUAACACGUGGAUAACCUACCCAAUAGCCUGGGAUAACCCCGGGAAACUGGGGAUAAUACCGGAUAGAUCAUCUUUGCUGGAAGGCUUGGUGGUUGAAACCGUAAGGGCUGUUGGAUGGGUCUGCGGCUGAUUAGGUUGUUGCCGGUGUAAUGUACCGUCAAGCCUGUAAUCAGUACGGGUUGUGGGAGCAAGAGCCCGGAGAUGGAUUCUGAGACACGAAUCCAGGCCCUACAGGGCGCAGCAGGCGCGAAAACUCUACAAUGCAGGCAACUGCGAUAGGGGAACAUCGAGUGAUCCUCAUAUUGGGGGUCUGUCCACCCGCCUAAAAAGCGGGUGUUAGCAAGGGCCGGGCAAGACCGGUGCCAGCCGCCGCGGUAAUACCGGCGGCUCGAGUGGUGGCCGAUAUUAUUGAGUCUAAAGGGUCCGUAGCCGGCUUUGCAAGUCUCUCGGGAAAUCCAGCGGCUUAACCGUUGGUCGUCCGGGGGGUACUACAUUGCUUGGGACUGGGAGAGGCGAGAGGUACUCAGGGGGUAGGAGUGAAAUCCUGUAAUCCUCUGGGGACCACCGGUGGCGAAGGCGUCUCGCCAGAACAGGUCCGACGGUGAGGGACGAAAGCUAGGGGCACGAACCGGAUUAGAUACCCGGGUAGUCCUAGCCGUAAACGAUGCUCGCUAGGUGUCACAACAGUCGUGAACUGUUGUGGUGCCGUAGGGAAGCCGUGAAGCGAGCCACUUGGGAAGUACGACCGCAAGGUUGAAACUUAAAGGAAUUGGCGGGGGAGCACA